Long non-coding RNA from Ictidomys tridecemlineatus (thirteen-lined ground squirrel), 2500 nucleotides. RefSeq lists it as uncharacterized. The record is from RefSeq and is a predicted model, not a curated record. Lineage: Eukaryota; Metazoa; Chordata; Mammalia; Rodentia; Sciuridae.
GCUUCUAUCCCAGUGGAAUAAAUGCUUAAGUUAGGAGUGCAGCAGGCUGAAGACAUUGCCAAGAGGGCGGGCCCUACCCGUGACGUGCGCACGCCAGUCCAAGGCCGGAGACCAAUGGUGGUGCAGACUGGAUGGCCCGGCCUCGCCCCUAAGCUCAAGCCCGCCCCGAGGCCCCGCCCCCUCCGGGCUCCGCGGGGCGUACGGUCUCCGGGGGUUGGAACCGGCCAGCUCCGCUGGGUUCCCGCCCCCGCGGGAGCGUAGCAGCCUGAUGCUCAGACACCAGGGUCGAGCCCCUAGACGGUGGAGGGAGAUUCAAAAGACUCAAUUGACUGUGGGAACCCGAGAAGAGGUUGGCAACCUUCUUUCCCCUCAACGGACGGUCUGAGAUGUCGAAAAAGGCCCUUACUGAAAUAAAAUAAGUAUCAAGUUGACCUGCCCCUUUGCUGCUGCUCCUUUCCGAGGAUCGGCGGCUCCGCGUCCCGCCUGCACGUCUGGGGCUGCACACUUCCUCCUGCAGGCCGCCUCCGCUACCCUCUGUUUCCUUGCCCUGUUUUGUGUCUUUUUAUGGCGCUCCUGCGUCUGAAAUGCUUUUUUGGGGAGUUUCGUACCUGGAUUACUCGUUUCUUCCCUACUUUCCCAGCAACCUAGAGAGUGGGGACCAAGUCAUCCCCAAUCCAGCCCCUAGCAGGGCUCCAGUCACUGCCUCACAGGCUUAACCCGAUGACUUCUAGCAUCAGGGAAAUCCUCCCGGGCCGGGUCCCAGCGUUCCCACCGAGCGUCUCACCGGGAACCCGGACAGGUCUCUCCUCGCAGACGGUCUGGGCUACAGGGAACCAAUGUGCGCUUUCUGGGGGAAGUCCCUGGAACCCGAUUUAGCAAUUUCGGGACGCAGUGGACCAGAGCAAAGGGCCCGUGAGUGCUAGGACUUGCAGCUGUAGUACGAGAACGCAAAGGAGACUCGGAAGGGGCCCGGAACUGCUGCGGUUGAUGGGCGCUCGACCGCUUCUCUGCGCUCAUCAGGACAGUUCUCCCAGCCCCAGGAGAGGGUGGUGAGCGGCCAGAAGCACAGAACGCGCCCCGCUGCCCUCGUCUCGGCUCCUCGGGUAUCGCUGUCGAACCCUCCGGGCGUGCUGGCACCUCUGGGCCGUGGUCUGUCCCCGGAUGCCUAGGUCCUGAGCGCAGCCACCUGAGCGUCUACCGGUGACAGAAGCUCAGGCAGUUACCCGGGGACCAAACCCCAAUACAACUGAAAGCAUCCUCCCCGGAGGUGUGAAGGGGACCCUGAUUCUCAGUGAAAAGCCUCCCUUUCUUCCUCCCAGGCCGCCUCUCCUCUGGUUCCUCCCAGGGCAGGGCCGGGUUUUCCUCCGGAGUCUGGGUCCCAGCGGGAGUGCUGCUGCGGGAGGUGGUGGGGCCUUACAGCUCGGGAAUCGGCUCUUGGUGAACCAACCGCGCCACCUGCCGGCCAGACUCUGACCUGCGCUGCCCAGGAGGAAGGGUGAGCGGACAAAGACCGAAACCAACUGCCCGCCCCUCUGGGAGGUGGGAAGCGUCGGUAGACUUUGGUAGCCACCUGCCCACGUUCAGCCCACUCAGGCCACUGCUAGCGGUGUGGUGGCUGGAGGCAAUCGAGAAGUCCUGGGACUCCUAUCGCUCCCCGCCAUCCAGAUUACGAAAGAUGGACUUGGAAAACGUUUCAAGGAGAAACAGUUGGCAUCCGAGGGGCUGCUGGAGUAGCCAGCUGCUCUCCCUAAAAUCGAAAGUCCGAGCGAUGAAGGGCCGUGUUGAGGAGGGAGUAGACCCGGCGUCACUGGCCGCAGUUUUAGGGCACUGGCCUCGACAGCAGAUCCUAUUUCCCUCAGUGGCUCAGACCUGCGCAGACCUCGACUGACGACACGGACAACUUUGACUUUCAAAGACCAGCGCGCUUGGCCGUACGCGGGGCAGUCGGGGCCUGGAGGGACAGCUUGUGCGGCUCUGGCAUUUUGGCUCCUUGGGCUCAAAGCUGCCCAAUAAUCAGGUGAACCAAGAAGCUGGAUUGCUGACUGGGAAAAUCUGCGCUCCAACUUCCCUCUGUAAAGCAUUUCUGGGCUGCAGAUUGGAAAUGAACUGCUGUUCAUUGUGGCUACCUGGAGGAGAAUUCUUCUGUCCUCUGUGAUUACUUACAGGGGAAAGACUUCUAACCUGACAAACAGGAUUCCUUCUAAAAAAUAAGAUAAAAAUGGAAACACCAUCAUCAAUGCAAAACCCUCUCUGCACCCCAUAAUUGGAAAACACCCUGGAAUUUUCAAACUUCUAAGUGUGAACAAUCAGUCUGUAGAGCCAUAAGCACAGAACCCAACACAAAACCUACCUAACAACACCUACUUUUAAAAUAAAGUUGCUUGGCUCUUCUGAGUAAAACAAGCCUCUCAGAACUGUGAGAAUGUAGGGGUGCUUUGAAUCCACUAAGGGGAAUCUCAAAUGAAUCUGCUAAUAAGCUUAAUAUAAAGGAUUAAUUAAA